This 468-nucleotide ribosomal RNA is filed under the name uncultured bacterium. Its description in RNAcentral is "partial 16S ribosomal RNA". It matches the Rfam family "Bacterial small subunit ribosomal RNA", at positions 28 to 507 of the family's 1533-position model. The record is from RNAcentral.
GACGAACGCUGGCGGCGUGCUUAACACAUGCAAGUCGAACGGUGAUGCUCCAGCUUGCUGGAGUGGAUCAGUGGCGAACGGGUGAGUAACACGUGAGCAACCUGCCCCAGACUCUGGAAUAAGCGCUGGAAACGGCGUCUAAUACUGGAUACGAAACUGGCCCGCAUGGGCAUGGUUUGGAAAGUUUUUCGGUUUGGGAUGGGCUCGCGGCCUAUCAGCUUGUUGGUGAGGUAAUGGCUCACCAAGGCGACGACGGGUAGCCGGCCUGAGAGGGCGACCGGCCAACCUGGGACUGGGACACCGCCCCGAACCCUACGGGAGGCAGGAGGGGGGAAUAUUGCACAAUGGGCGAAAGCCUGAUGCAGCGACGCCGCGUGAGGGAUGACGGCCUUCGGGUUGUAAACCUCUUUCAGCAGGGAAGAAGCGAAAGUGACGGUACCUGCAGAAGAAGCACCGGCUAACUACGUG